AUUGAACGCUGGCGGCAGGCCUAACACAUGCAAGUCGAACGGUAACAGGGAGCAGCUUGCUGCUCUGCUGACGAGUGGCGGACGGGUGAGUAAUGUCUGGGAAACUGCCUGAUGGAGGGGGAUAACUACUGGAAACGGUAGCUAAUACCGCAUAACGUUUACGGACCAAAGUGGGGGACCUUCGGGCCUCAUGCCAUCAGAUGUGCCCAGAUGGGAUUAGCUAGUAGGUGGGGUAACGGCUCACCUAGGCGACGAUCCCUAGCUGGUCUGAGAGGAUGACCAGCCACACUGGAAYUGAGACACGGUCCAGACUCCUACGGGAGGCAGCAGUGGGGAAUAUUGCACAAUGGGCGCAAGCCUGAUGCAGCCAUGCCGCGUGUAUGAAGAAGGCCUUCGGGUUGUAAAGUACUUUCAGCGGGGAGGAAGGUGUUGUGGUUAAUAACCACAGCAAUUGACGUUACCCGCAGAAGAAGCACCGGCUAACUCCGUGCCAGCAGCCGCGGUAAUACGGAGGGUGCAAGCGUUAAUCGGAAUUACUGGGCGUAAAGCGCACGCAGGCGGUCUGUUAAGUCAGAUGUGAAAUCCCCGGGCUCAACCUGGGAACUGCAUUUGAAACUGG
RNAcentral lists this ribosomal RNA (619 nucleotides) under Cronobacter sakazakii. RNAcentral describes it as "bacterial SSU rRNA". It matches the Rfam family "Bacterial small subunit ribosomal RNA", at positions 28 to 636 of the family's 1533-position model. Lineage: Bacteria; Pseudomonadati; Pseudomonadota; Gammaproteobacteria; Enterobacterales; Enterobacteriaceae. The record is from RNAcentral.